Harpia harpyja (harpy eagle) is the source of this 1717-nucleotide long non-coding RNA. RefSeq lists it as uncharacterized. The transcript is spliced from 5 exons. The record is from RefSeq and is a predicted model, not a curated record. Lineage: Eukaryota; Metazoa; Chordata; Aves; Accipitriformes; Accipitridae.
UAGGCGAAGGGAGGGGUCCCGGCGCCAUCUUGGCCGAGGCAGGAGGAGGAAGGGUGGGCCGGGAGGGCCGCCAUCUUGCAGCGGGGCCUAGCUGUUGUAGCCGCGGCGGUGUCUCCUCUUUGGUUCCCUCUGGCCGCCGCAGGCGAGCUGCUCGACCUUCUCCCCCGCCCCGCAACGACUCGUAGCUGGCGUCAGUCUGGGCGGUUGUCAGACGCUUGUCACGCCGCCUGACGGGUGCCUUAUUGCUGUAGGAACUAGGCAGCCCUCAGUCUGAGGCAACGGCACGCGUGAGCCCCUGAACCCGUGAGAGCCGAUUUCACGUGCAUAAGCAUUCAGGCUGUUACGUGGCGGGGUAACGGGAUCAUCUGAGGUGAAGGGCGAGCAGACUCACCAGAGGGACUCAUCAAAGUGCUUAAGAUGCUUUGAAACUGAAAUUGCAGCCAGGAAACAUUGCAGUUACCCAGCCGGGGAGGACUCCGAGGCAGAAUUAAGGUACAGCUUCGUCUCUGGGGCCUGAUCCUGCAGCUCUCAGUCACGAGAGGAGUCCUGGCUUGAGCGGUCCUCCUGGCUCUGACUGGGCAGGUUUUAAAGCAUCUGUUUUGUUCCCUAAAAAAAACGCACACCAAAGUAUCUCCAGAGAAACAUCUGUAGCCACACAACUCCCAACGCAUUAUUGUUGGACUCUUUGAUCUGCCUUUGUCCUCUUGAACUUCACAUGUAGGAAUGAUGUAGCCUUUUCCACUAUGUCAUGGAAAGCAGAGUGGGUGCCACUGGGGACUCCAAGGUGCUGCUGCAUCAGAACAAUGCUGCUUUGCCUUUCACAGCUGAGACAAGCUGUGUCAUUUUAUUGGCUUGUUAGACCCUGAAUGAGCGUGCGUAAGUCUGAGAGCCAGAGAAGGGAACCCCAAACACGUUUGCCUUUCGACCACUAUAUACACACAUAGGAAGUGUCAUCAGACAGCAUUUCUGUACUGUACGCUGUAACGUGGGUAUGGCACACAAAGCACUGUCUGUGAGCUCGCGGGUUAUAGAGUGAACUACCACUGUUUCUCCAUUUUCACCAUAUAAAGAACAGUAACAAAAAUCCUUCCUUUACAGCCCUGUGGGGUUUCUCUUUCCUCCUAUUUGUUAUAAUCUGAACCACCAACUUAAGCAUCUAGUACUUCUGUAGCUCACAAAGCAAGCUGUGGGCAUGGUCCUGGACGUAGUCUAACCACUCACAGAGACACUCUGUCAUUUAUUGCAAAGGCCUGGACCUAUAUGCAAUGACUGGAUGAGCUAUAACUACAGAAAUAUAGUAAGUUAUUGGAAGAGCGGAGGAUUUUUUUUUUUUUUUAAAUAAAUCAGGAAGAGUUUGUUGAUGGAUUGAUGAUUGACACUACUUAGUUCUGCUGCCAAUAAUAAAUUUUAUAUUGUAGCUACCCUUGAAGCAUAGAUUUAUCUUCUUUCCCUUCUUCCACAGUGCCUGCUACAGACUGUGUGGCACCAAUGAUUACAUGUAAUCGCAGCUGUUGUCUCUCCUUCCUCAACCCCAGCAGAAAGGGCAACGUGCCCCAUAGGAUGAGAAACAGCCAUAUACAUGCUACAGAACUAGCGAAGUCGUCAUUAACCAUGUUGUUCCAGUCACCGUAAAACCCCGUAUGUCAGUGAUUUAAACAGAUUCACGCAGGUAUGAAACGUGAUCCUUAGCAGCUAAUCCAAUAAAGAAACAAAAAUA